This 562-nucleotide ribosomal RNA is filed under the name uncultured bacterium. Its description in RNAcentral is "bacterial SSU rRNA". It matches the Rfam family "Bacterial small subunit ribosomal RNA", at positions 251 to 795 of the family's 1533-position model. The record is from RNAcentral.
GGUGGGGUAAAGGCCCUUACCAAGGGGAACGAUCCGUAAACUGGUUUGAGAGGACGACCAGCCACCCCUGGGAAUGAAAACCGGGCCAGAACUCCUACGGGAGCCAGCAGUGGGGAAUUUUGGACCAUGGGGGCAACCCUUGAUCCAGCCCAUUCCCCGCGUGUGCGAUGAAGGCCUUCGGGUUGUAAAGCACUUUUGGCAGGGAAGAAACAGUUCGGGUUAAUAACCUGGACGACUGACGGUACCUGCAGAAUAAGCACCGGCUAACUACGUGCCAGCAGCCGCGGUAAUACGUAGGGUGCAAGCGUUAAUCGGAAUUACUGGGCGUAAAGCGUGCGCAGGCGGUUCGGAAAAAAAGGUGUGAAAUCCCAGGGCUUAACCUUGGAACUGCACUUUUAACUCCCGAGCUAGAGUACGUCAGAGGGGGGUAGAAUUCCACGUGUAGCAGUGAAAUGCGUAGAGAUGUGGAGGAAUACCGAUGGCGAAGGCAGCCCCCUGGGAUGAUACUGACGCUCAUGCACGAAAGCGUGGGGAGCAAACAGGAUUAGAUACCCUGGUAGUC